CAUUGUGAUCAUACCAACAAUAAUUCAUUAGAUCCAAUUAGAAAUUUGUAGUUAAGUGUGCUUCAGAUAGAGUAGUGUUAGGAUGGGUGACCUCCCACAAAGUUAUAUUGUUGCACCCU
This is a non-coding RNA of Picea glauca (white spruce), 119 nucleotides long. The record is from Rfam. NCBI's taxonomy places the organism in Eukaryota, Viridiplantae, Streptophyta, Pinopsida, Pinales, Pinaceae.